GGGGGGAAGUCGGAUCCUGGGCUGUGUCCCCAGCGCCCUGUGCUCCCGGGCCUGUGCUGUUGGAUUCACGUUCCCCGCUGGGCAGCACCCC
RNAcentral lists this microRNA precursor (91 nucleotides) under Canis lupus familiaris (dog). Its description in RNAcentral is "mir-8799 microRNA precursor family". It matches the Rfam family "mir-8799 microRNA precursor family". RNAcentral also lists the same sequence under 1 other name. The record is from Rfam by way of RNAcentral. Lineage: Eukaryota; Metazoa; Chordata; Mammalia; Carnivora; Canidae.